Molecule: ribosomal RNA, 824 nt
Filed under: Acarospora macrospora
Lineage: Eukaryota; Fungi; Ascomycota; Lecanoromycetes; Acarosporales; Acarosporaceae
Description: partial large subunit ribosomal RNA
Rfam family: Eukaryotic large subunit ribosomal RNA
Source: RNAcentral
CCUCAGUAACGGCGAGUGAAGCGGCAACAGCUCAAAUUUGAAAUCUGACCCCGUCGGGGCCCGAGUUGUAAUUUGCAGAGGAUGCUUCGGGCAUGGAUUCGGUCUGAGUUCCUUGGAACAGGACGCCGCAGAGGGUGAGAGCCCCGUAUGUGACCGGCCCCCGUGCCUGUGCGAAGCUCCUUCGACGAGUCGAGUUGUUUGGGAAUGCAGCUCCAAAUGGGUGGUAAAUUUCAUCUAAAGCUAAAUAUUGGCCAGAGACCGAUAGCGCACAAGUAGAGUGAUCGAAAGAUGAAAAGCACUUUGGAAAGAGAGUCAAACAGUACGUGAAAUUGUUGAAAGGGAAGCGCUUGCAACCAGACUUGCCUGCGGGCGAUCAGCCGGCAUUCGUUGCCGGUGCACUCGCCCGCAGUCGGGCCAGCAUCGGUCCGGGCGGCUGGACAAAGUCCCCCGGAAUGUGACUCCCCCCGGGGAGUGUUAUAGCCGGAGGUGCCAUGCAGCCCGCCUGGACCGAGGACCGCGCUUCGGCUAGGAUGCUGGCGUAAUGGUCGCAAGCGACCCGUCUUGAAACACGGACCAAGGAGUCUAACAUCCAUGCGAGUGUUUGGGUGUCAAACCCAUGCGCGGAAUGAAAGUGAACGGAGGUGGGACCCCGUCCGGGUGCACCAUCGACCGAUCCUGAUGUCUUCGGAUGGAUUUGAGUAAGAGCAUGGCUGUUGGGACCCGAAAGAUGGUGAACUAUGCCUGAAUAGGGUGAAGCCAGAGGAAACUCUGGUGGAGGCUCGCAGCGGUUCUGACGUGCAAAUCGAUCGUCAAAUUUGGGUAUA